RNAcentral lists this ribosomal RNA (324 nucleotides) under uncultured Cercomonas. RNAcentral's name for it is "SSU rRNA". It matches the Rfam family "Eukaryotic small subunit ribosomal RNA", at positions 628 to 955 of the family's 1831-position model. The record is from RNAcentral. Lineage: Eukaryota; Cercozoa; Cercomonadida; Cercomonadidae.
GAUUUCUGGUAUGUCGCACUUGGCCCGCCCCGCUACGGGGUUGUGUGCCGGUGUGCGUCUGCCAUCUUUCUGGACCUCACUAUUACUUCUCUUCAUUGGGUUGUUUUAGCGAACCAGAUCUUUUACUUUGAAAAAAUUAGAGUGUUUAAAGCAGGCUUGUGCUAUGAAUACAUUAGCAUGGAAUAAUAAUUUAGGACUUUGGUCUUAUUUUGUUGGUUUCUAGGACUAAAGUAAUGAUUGAUAGGGACAGUUGGGGGUGCUAGUAUUCAGUGGCCAGAGGUGAAAUUCUUGGAUUCACUGAAGACUAACUUAUGCGAAAGCAUU